CCUCAAAAGUAAGUCCUGCUGACAAGUAUACACAGGAUUGUAGCCUCAGAUUCACAACCAAAGUGCCUUGAGAGCUCACAUCUGUGGACCCCUUGCCAAAGCAAGACAAAAUGGAAAGGAAGCGAGAUGAUUUGCAACUGGAAAAAUCAGGGGCAACAAAGAGCUAUAAGCAAUGGCAAUAGUUGGUGGUGCUGCUUAUGAUUAUUGGUUCCUCUCCAGUGUUGAGAUCAGCAGAGGGGGCCUUUGUGGAAGUUCCAACACCCUCAGGAGCCUGGGAGAGGACAUUCUCUGCGGUGGCCCUAAGUUGUGGAACUCCCUCCCUGCCGAGAUAAAGGCAGGGCAGCAAUUUCGUUACAAACAAGCAAAGGAACAAACAAUGCUGAACUGCAGUAAGCUCCACCAUAACAUAAUGACCAGCUGCGACCUGCUUGUGCAGCACAGUGACAGAGGAGAAUGUUCUUGUUCAGAGUUGGGUGGGAUUGGCGGCAACCCACCAGCAGCAAAUAUUGUGCUGUGUCAUUAUUACACAAAGCUUUUUUUAAAAAAAUCAUAUAAACCAGGAGGGGAGUAAUCCUUGGAACUGGAUCUUAAAAGUAAUAAUCUCUAAGAAGCUGAUUCAGUAAACUGAACUUUGUUAAUAGCUAGAGAUCAGGUGAUGCCAUUAGUUAAGAAUUCUGCCCCUGCCCCACAAGCAUGUGUCAAAACUGAGAUCACACUGAGCAUUUAGUCAAGAGAGUUAACCUUAAAAAAACCAUCCUGCUUUUGGCCACGAGUUAGAUUUUAGUAAGAGAGCGCCCCCUUUGGGGGAGAGCAUUCUCCUGGUCUCUUAGCCAAUUUGUUAUCUAUAUUCGGUUAAAUUUAAAACAGCAGCCAAAACAAAUGGGGAGGACAGAUGUGCAUGUCAGAAUAAUCUGUUUUGAAAGAAAUGGAUGUUGUAUUUUAUUCCAGCAAGAUACACAUGGGUUCUUUUGACAGAUUUCUGCCCUGAGAGAUUGGCCUUGCUCCAAAAAGUUUCUGUUUAGGCAAGCAUUCUAAUUGUUUACUAUUUGAUUCCCACCCUGUACCACCCUCAAAUAUCCUUGCUAUGUUUGUGUGUGAUUUUGCUCUGCUGUUCCAUAGCCAUUUGAACGGAGUGUUAUUUUCAGUUGCAUCUUUUUAGUGUUAUUUUAAAAAUACUGUUCCUUUCCCUUGAGCCAGGUGUUGCCCUUCAGAUAUUGAACUCCCAUCAUCCCUAGCCCCUGGCCAUGCUUGCUAGGGCUGCUGAGGGAGUUGUAGUUCAGCACAUCUGGAGAGCCAAAGGUUCCCCACACCUGCCUUGAGCACUCCCGAUUCCUUUAAAUAAAUAGUAAACAGAUAUAAUCCUGGGCUUAAAAGCAUGUACUCGUUGGCCUUUGCCUACAAAAUAGUUCAUCCCGCAACACUUGGGAUUCUGUCACUUGAAUUUUUGCUGGCUGAAUAGGACUUUUGAAGCUUGAGAUCGGGCUGCCGGGAAGAGCUAGAGUGGCGGCUGAUGGAGACUGGCAGAGACUAAAGGGACUUUCUGUUGUUAGAAAGAAUGAGACUGCGUAUAACAUCAUGGUUGGGGUGCUCUAGUAACUAAGUUGAAACUGCUUAAGUUUUCUUUUACCCCUGCAAUGUUCAUUAGACGUGUAAUGCGGCCUCCUAUAAUGUGUUAUGUUAUAUUUAUAGUGUGGAAAUAGUUUUUGUGUUGUUGUAAUGUUUGCUAUUUGUUAUUUUUUCUAUUAUGGUUAUAUUAUU
Long non-coding RNA from Rhineura floridana, 1758 nucleotides. RefSeq lists it as uncharacterized. The transcript has 4 exons. Lineage: Eukaryota; Metazoa; Chordata; Lepidosauria; Squamata; Rhineuridae. The record is from RefSeq and is a predicted model, not a curated record.